CGACUUGGAGGUUGUGCCCUUGAGGCGUGGUUUCCGGAGCUAACGCGUUAAGUCGACCGCCUGGGGAGUACGGCCGCAAGGUUAAAACUCAAAUGAAUUGACGGGGGCCCGCACAAGCGGUGGAGCAUGUGGUUUAAUUCGAUGCAACGCGAAGAACCUUACCUGGUCUUGACAUCCACGGAAUUUGGCAGAGAUGCCUUAGUGCCUUCGGGAACCGUGAGACGGGUGCUGCAUGGCUGUCGUCAGCUCGUGUUGUGAAAUGUUGGGUUAAGUCCCGCAACGAGCGCAACCCUUAUCCUUUGUUGCCAGCGGUCCGGCCGGGAACUCAAAGGAGACUGCCAGUGAUAAACUGGAGGAAGGUGGGGAUGACGUCAAGUCAUCAUGGCCCUUACGACCAGGGCUACACACGUGCUACAAUGGCAUAUACAAAGAGAAGCGACCUCGCGAGAGCAAGCGGACCUCAUAAAGUAUGUCGUAGUCCGGAUUGGAGUCUGCAACUCGACUCCAUGAAGUCGGAAUCGCUAGUAAUCGUGGAUCAGAAUGCCACGGUGAAUACGUUCCCGGGCCUUGUACACACCGCCCGUCACACCAUGGGAGUGGGUUGCAAAAGAAGUAGGUAGCUUAACCUUCGGGAGGGCGCUUACCACUUUGUGAUUCAUGACUGGGGUGAAGUCGUAACAAGGUACC
This 687-nucleotide ribosomal RNA is filed under the name uncultured bacterium. Its description in RNAcentral is "bacterial SSU rRNA". It matches the Rfam family "Bacterial small subunit ribosomal RNA", at positions 813 to 1500 of the family's 1533-position model. The record is from RNAcentral.